UGCCAGCAGCCGCGGUAAUACGGAGGAUGCAAGCGUUAUCCGGAUUUAUUAGGUUUAAAGGGUGCGUAGGCGGAAUUUUAAGUCAGUGGUGAAAUCUUGCAGCUUAACUGUAAAACUGCCAUUGAAACUAUUAUUCUUGAGUAUAGUUGAGGUGGGCGGAAUGUGUAGUGUAGCGGUGAAAUGCUUAGAUAUUACACAGAACACCGAUUGCGAAGGCAGCUCACUAAACUAUCACUGACGCUGAGGCACGAAAGCGUGGGGAGCGAACAGGAUUAGAUA
This 279-nucleotide ribosomal RNA is filed under the name uncultured bacterium. RNAcentral's name for it is "partial 16S ribosomal RNA". It matches the Rfam family "Bacterial small subunit ribosomal RNA", at positions 506 to 784 of the family's 1533-position model. The record is from RNAcentral.